Mastomys coucha (southern multimammate mouse) is the source of this 272-nucleotide long non-coding RNA. RefSeq lists it as uncharacterized. The transcript is spliced from 3 exons. Lineage: Eukaryota; Metazoa; Chordata; Mammalia; Rodentia; Muridae. The record is from RefSeq and is a predicted model, not a curated record.
UAUCCUGUUCUAGCGGUUCUUGUCUUCCCCCCUUUCCCAGCACAAGUUGGGUGGCAACAGAGGAGCACUUGGUCCCCGUGAAAGACUAGAGCAGCUUUCAGUCUUCAUCAGAGAAGCCUCUUUUUUGCAGUGGAGAGUGAUUAAUACAGAAACCAACAACUAACUGGACAGUAUGAUGCAUGCUUCGUGUGACCCAGACAUAGGUCAUUUCCUGCCAUCCCAGAAGAGAGCUGCUUUUGUGUGUUACAGGCCUUGUGUGACCCAGACAUAGG